UACGGAGGGGGCGAGCGUUAUUCGGAAUUAUUGGGCGUAAAGGGCGCGUAGGCGGCUUGGCAAGUCAAAGGUGAAAUCCCUCGGCUCAACUGAGGAACUGCCUUUGAAACUGCCUGGCUUGAGGCCGGGAGGGGGUAGCGGAAUUCCCAGUGUAGCGGUGAAAUGCGUAGAUAUUGGGAGGAACACCAGCGGCGAAGGCGGCACUCUGGGCUGGUAUUGACGCUGAGGAGCGAAAGCGUGGGUAGCGAACAGG
Molecule: ribosomal RNA, 253 nt
Filed under: uncultured bacterium
Lineage: Bacteria
Description: partial 16S ribosomal RNA
Rfam family: Bacterial small subunit ribosomal RNA
Source: RNAcentral